Molecule: long non-coding RNA, 802 nt
Organism: Apis dorsata (giant honeybee)
Lineage: Eukaryota; Metazoa; Arthropoda; Insecta; Hymenoptera; Apidae
Exons: 2
Source: RefSeq, a predicted model, not a curated record
UCAUCAUCAUUUUCGUUAUUAUUAUUAUUAUUACUAUUAUUUUUACCAUUAUUAUUACUACUAUCAUCAUCAUCAUCAUCAUUUUAUCAUCAUCUUUACAGUUUUCAUUAUUUCAAUUAAUUAAGUAGACCGAUACAUUCCGAAGGUACUACAUUAAAGAGUGAAUUCUAAUUACAUAACUGAUAUAUCUUGUUCAAAGUCUUUGACAACUUGUUUAUUGGUUAAUGAAUAAAAAUUUUCAAUCUUUCCCCUGCUAACGCGCAAUGCUAGUCAUCCGAUUAUUUAUGCAGGGUACAAUCGGCAACUUUCAAUGAAUUUGAAAGAGAAAUAUGAAAUUAUUGUUGCAGUUUUCUCUGUACUAAACCAUUUACACGAUUAAAUGGUCUUUUUUUAUAUGAUUAUGAAUAAAUUAUAUUAUGUCGUUGGAAAUGUGCAUUUAUUUGCCUUAAUUUUUUUCUAAAUGAUCUUUUGAUAUUCUUGGUUUACUUUUUUUGCUGCUGUUUGCAUUUUAAUUAUUUUUAUAAAAUAAAUAUACAGAUUGUGUAUGUGGUAUGUACAUAAAUAUGCAAUAAGAUUGUUAUUUUGCAUUUUCAUUAGCAGCAAAUAUACAUUUUUCUAUUUAAUAAUAAUACUAAUGCAUAAAUAUUUGAUUCGUUGAUCACAAUAUUUCAUAACCUACAUUAGAAAAUUACAAGUUUUAUAGAUGCUUUUAAAUGUCCGCUUAUUUAUGCGCAAUAACUUGUAUAAGUUAAAUUAUCUAAAAAAAAAUUUGUUUAGAAGUAAAAUUUGGUAGAAUAAAGAA